AGUGAACGCUGGCGGCAGGCCUAACACAUGCAAGUCGAACGGCAGCACAGUAAGAGCUUGCUCUUACGGGUGGCGAGUGGCGGACGGGUGAGGAAUACAUCGGAAUCUACUUUUUCGUGGGGGAUAACGUAGGGAAACUUACGCUAAUACCGCAUACGACCUACGGGUGAAAGCAGGGGAUCUUCGGACCUUGCGCGAUUGAAUGAGCCGAUGUCGGAUUAGCUAGUUGGCGGGGUAAAGGCCCACCAAGGCGACGAUCCGUAGCUGGUCUGAGAGGAUGAUCAGCCACACUGGAACUGAGACACGGUCCAGACUCCUACGGGAGGCAGCAGUGGGGAAUAUUGGACAGGGGGCGCAAGCCUGAUCCAGCCAUACCGCGUGGGUGAAGAAGGCCUUCGGGUUGUAAAGCCCUUUUGUUGGGAAAGAAAAGCAGCAGGUUAAUACCCCGCUGUUCUGACGGUACCCAAAGAAUAAGCACCGGCUAACUUCGU
RNAcentral lists this ribosomal RNA (491 nucleotides) under uncultured bacterium. RNAcentral's name for it is "partial 16S ribosomal RNA". It matches the Rfam family "Bacterial small subunit ribosomal RNA", at positions 29 to 506 of the family's 1533-position model. The record is from RNAcentral.